AGGUGUGAUCAUACCAGCGUUAAUGCAUCGAAUCCCAUCAGAACUCAGUAGUUAAGCAUGCUUGGGCUAGAGUAGAACUGGGAUGGAUGACGUCCCAAGAAGUCCUAGUUUUACACCCU
Non-coding RNA from Picea glauca (white spruce), 119 nucleotides. NCBI's taxonomy places the organism in Eukaryota, Viridiplantae, Streptophyta, Pinopsida, Pinales, Pinaceae. The record is from Rfam.